AAUAUUGCGCAAUGGAGGAAACUCUGACGCAGCUACGCCGCGUGAGCGAUGAAGGUUUUCGGAUCGUAAUGCUCUGUCCUUGGGGAAGAAGGUUUUCGGACUUGACUGUACCUAAGGAGGAAGCCCCUGCUAACUACUUGCCAGCAGCCGCGGUAAUACGUAGGGGGCAAGCGUUGUCCGGAAUUAUUGGGCGUAAAGGGUGCGUAGGCGGCCUUUUAAGUCAGGUGUGAAAGCCCACGGCUUAACCGUGGGAUUGCAUUUGAAACUGGAAGGCUUGAGUAUCGGAGAGGGUAGUGGAAUACCCAGUGUAGCGGUGGAAUGCGUAGAUAUUGGGAGGAACACCAGUGGCGAAGGCGACUACCUGGACGAAAACUGACGCUGAGGCACGAAAGCUAGGGGAGCAAA
This 405-nucleotide ribosomal RNA is filed under the name uncultured bacterium. RNAcentral describes it as "partial 16S ribosomal RNA". It matches the Rfam family "Bacterial small subunit ribosomal RNA", at positions 360 to 772 of the family's 1533-position model. The record is from RNAcentral.